This 651-nucleotide long non-coding RNA is filed under the name Helianthus annuus (common sunflower). RNAcentral's name for it is "hypothetical non coding rna". The record is from RNAcentral. Lineage: Eukaryota; Viridiplantae; Streptophyta; Magnoliopsida; Asterales; Asteraceae.
GUUUUUAUAAAUGUACAGGUUUAAGAUUAUGUACAUGUAUUAUGUUACCCAAGUCGGUCCCUUUUCUAUGAGGAUGACCACAGACCCAUCAUUGUGGCAUAAAAUGAUGUGGCACCAUCCGUGACGGUGAGUUGAGUUCACGGCGUCUCUUCUGUUUUAGUCUAUGGACUUCUGUUCAGAGGCGUAUGGAUCGAUCCUAGGAAAAAGUAAAUAAAGUCUGAUAUCUGGUGAGUGGUCGGUGUGAUUUGCCCACACUCCAUUCAUGUCUGGAUACAUGGGCUAGCUACCCUGUAUCAACCUCUGUAAUAAAAUGAACCUUCUGGACUUCGGUAUAUUUUGAAUUAUGAAAACUUAGCGUUUUGCUAAAACAAAUGAUUUUUGAAGAACUUAGCCUUUUUUCUAAAAUAAAAUAAACCUUUUUUUUUCCUCUAUCCGCACACUGGGCAAAACUUUCAAAUUUUGCUCAGACGUACGUUUUUUGUGUUUUCUUCUUUACGUCAGGUUAUCAAGACAAUCUGGGACGGGAUACAGAAGAGUGCUCGAGUAAAUUGAAAAAAAAAAACCUUAGAAAUAAUGUACUGGAUUAGAUAUCUUAUUUCCAUUAAGUUGUAAAGCCUUGUAAUACAUUUAAGUAUUAAUGGAAUUAUGUUU